RNAcentral lists this unclassified non-coding RNA (432 nucleotides) under soil metagenome. Its description in RNAcentral is "partial contains 5.8S ribosomal RNA, internal transcribed spacer 2, and large subunit ribosomal RNA". The stretch from base 1 to 120 matches the Rfam family "5.8S ribosomal RNA", at positions 35 to 154 of the family's 154-position model. The record is from RNAcentral.
GAUGAAGAACGUAGCGAAAUGCGAUACGUAAUGUGAAUUGCAGAAUUCAGUGAAUCAUCGAAUCUUUGAACGCAUAUUGCGCUCUCUGGUAUUCCGGAGAGCAUGCUUGUUUGAGUAUCAGUAAACACCUCAACUUCCAUAUCUUUUUUGAAAUGGGAGUUGGACUUGAGUGAUCCCAACGCUUUUCCUCACCGAAAAGUGGCGGGUUACUUGAAAUGCAGGUGCAGCUGGACUUUUCUCUGAGCUAUAAGCAUAUCUAUUUAGUCUGCCUAAAAAACAGAUUAUUACCUUUGCUGCAGCUAACAUAAAGGAGAUUAGUUCUUGUGCUGACUGAUGCAGGAUUCACAAAGACGGCUUCGGCCGACUUUGUAAACUCGAUCUCAAAUCAAGUAAGACUACCCGCUGAACUUAAGCAUAUCAAUAAGCGAAGGA